UACAGAGGGUGCGAGCGUUGUUCGGAAUUAUUGGGCGUAAAGCGCUUGUAGGCGGCACGUCAAGUCGCGUGUGAAAUCCCCAGGCUUAACCUGGGAAGUGCGCGCGAAACUGACGAGCUUGAGUGCCGGAGAGGGUCGCGGAAUUCCCGGUGUAGAGGUGAAAUGCGCAGAUAUCAGGAGGAACACCGGUGGCGAAGGCGGAUCUCUGGGCCGAUACUGACGCUGAGGAGCGAAAGCGUGGGGAGCGAACAGG
RNAcentral lists this ribosomal RNA (253 nucleotides) under uncultured bacterium. RNAcentral describes it as "partial 16S ribosomal RNA". It matches the Rfam family "Bacterial small subunit ribosomal RNA", at positions 524 to 776 of the family's 1533-position model. The record is from RNAcentral.